ACGAACGCUGGCGGCGUGCUUAACACAUGCAAGUCGAGCGGUAAGGCCCUUCGGGGUACACGAGCGGCGAACGGGUGAGUAACACGUGGGUGAUCUGCCUCGCACUCUGGGAUAAGCCUGGGAAACUGGGUCUAAUACCGGAUAUGACCAUUGACCGCAUGGUUGGUGGUGGAAAGAUUUAUCGGUGCAAGAUGAGCCCGCGGCCUAUCAGCUUGUUGGUGGGGUAAUGGCCUACCAAGGCGACGACGGGUAGCCGGCCUGAGAGGGCGACCGGCCACACUGGGACUGAGACGCGGCCCAGACUCCUACGGGAGGCAGCGGUGGGGAAUAUUGCACAAUGGGCGGAAGCCUGAUGCAGCGACGCCGCGUGAGGGAUGACGGCCUUCGGGUUGUAAACCUCUUUCGACUCCGACGAAGCGAAAGUGACGGUAGGAGUAUAAGAAGCACCGGCCAACUACGUGCCAGCAGCCGCGGUAAUACGUAGGGUGCGAGCGUUGUCCGGAAUUACUGGGCGUAAAGAGCUUGUAGGCGGUCUGUCGCGUCUUCUGUGAAAACUUGAGGCUCAACCUUAAGCUUGCAGGCGAUACGGGGCAGACUAGAGUACUUCAGGGGAGACUGGAAUUCCUGGUGUAGCGGUGAAAUGCGCAGAUAUCAGGAGGAACACCGGUGGCGAAGGCGGGUCUCUGGGAAGUAACUGACGCUGAGAAGCGAAAGCAUGGGUAGCGAACAGGAUUAGAUACCCUGGUAGUCCACGCUGUAAACGUUGGGCGCUAGGUGUGGGAGUCUUUUGUGACGUCCGUGCCGUAGCUAACGCAUUAAGCGCCCCGCCUGGGGAGUACGGCCGCAAGGCUAAAACUCAAAGGAAUUGACGGGGGCCCGCACAAGCGGCGGAGCAUGCGGAUUAAUUCGAUGCAACGCGAAGAACCUUACCUGGGUUUGACAUACACGGUGCACCGGCAGAGAUGUCGGGUCCUUUUGGGUCGUGUACAGGUGGUGCAUGGCUGUCGUCAGCUCGUGUCGUGAGAUGUUGGGUUAAGUCCCGCAACGAGCGCAACCCUCGUCCUAUGUUGCCAGCACGUUAUGGUGGGGACUCAUAGGAGACUGCCGGGGUCAACUCGGAGGAAGGUGGGGAUGAUGUCAAGUCUUCAUGCCCCUUAUGUCCAGGGCUGCAAACAUGCUACAAUGGUCGGUACAAUGGGCUGCGAGACCGUGAGGUGGAGCGAAUCCCUAAAAGCCGGCCUCAGUUCGGAUCGGGGUCUGCAACUCGACCCCGUGAAGUUGGAGUCGCUAGUAAUCGCGGAUCGGCAACGCCGCGGUGAAUACGUUCCCGGGCCUUGCACACACCGC
RNAcentral lists this ribosomal RNA (1347 nucleotides) under uncultured bacterium. Its description in RNAcentral is "bacterial SSU rRNA". It matches the Rfam family "Bacterial small subunit ribosomal RNA", at positions 29 to 1393 of the family's 1533-position model. The record is from RNAcentral.